UACGAAGGGGGCUAGCGUUGUUCGGAAUCACUGGGCGUAAAGCGCACGUAGGCGGAUGUGUCAGUCAGGGGUGAAAUCCCGGGGCUCAACCUCGGAACUGCCUCUGAUACAGCACAUCUUGAGUCCGGAAGAGGUGGGUGGAAUUCCUAGUGUAGAGGUGAAAUUCGUAGAUAUUAGGAAGAACACCGGUGGCGAAGGCGGCCCACUGGUCCGGUACUGACGCUGAGGUGCGAAAGCGUGGGGAGCAAACAGG
This 253-nucleotide ribosomal RNA is filed under the name uncultured bacterium. RNAcentral describes it as "partial 16S ribosomal RNA". It matches the Rfam family "Bacterial small subunit ribosomal RNA", at positions 524 to 776 of the family's 1533-position model. The record is from RNAcentral.